Molecule: small RNA, 1407 nt
Filed under: Sarcogyne sp. 1 MW-2015
Lineage: Eukaryota; Fungi; Ascomycota; Lecanoromycetes; Acarosporales; Acarosporaceae
Description: eukaryotic LSU rRNA
Rfam family: Eukaryotic large subunit ribosomal RNA (bases 811-1407)
Source: RNAcentral
GAGAGGGACAGCGCAGAUGUAAGCACCUCUGGAGCCUUGAAUUUCCAGUCUACUUGUAGUAGGCGACACUAGUCUGUUGCUGGGAUUUUCCUCUGGGAUAACCAGCGGCCACCAUACGGAUGUAUUGUGGUUCACAGAUCAAACACUGGUGGCCUGAGAAGUUCACAGCCCAACUCACUGCCCUUCGGGGCACUAGCCUACGGGCAACUUCCGGUGUGAGCUUGAGUGGUGAAUUGGGCGUGAACGCGGGUUAAAAUAUGACCGGCCCCAUCUGGAAACAGAUCGGGAGUCAAGUGUUCCGUAGGUGAACCUGCGGAAGGAUCAUUACAGAGUUAGGGUCUUUUGGGCCCAACCUCCAACCCUAUGUGUAUUUUACCUUCGUUGCUUUGGCGGGCCCGUGAGGCAACUCACAGGCGGUCACCGGCUGUCGAGUGCCCGCCAAAGACCCAUUAAACUCUGUCAAUUGUGCAGUCUGAGUACCAAUACAAUUGUUAAAACUUUCAACAACGGAUCUCUUGGUUCUGGCAUCGAUGAAGAACGCAGCGAAAUGCGAUAAGUAAUGUGAAUUGCAGAAUUCAGUGAAUCAUCGAAUCUUUGAACGCACAUUGCGCCCUUUGGUAUUCCGAGGGGCAUGCCUGUUCGAGCGUCAUUGCACCACUCAAGCUUCGCUUGGUAUUGGGCCUUCGUCCCCCGUGGAUGUGCCUGGAAAUCAGCGGCGACGCAGCCCGGCUUCAAGCAGUAUUAGUUAAUCCUUUGCUUUGAAAGCCUGAGCUGACGAUCAGCCGGACAACCCCUAAUUUUUCUCAAGGUUGACCUCGGAUCAGGUAGGGAUACCCGCUGAACUUAAGCAUAUCAAUAAGCGGAGGAAAAGAAACCAACAGGGAUUGCCUCAGUAACGGCGAGUGAAGCGGCAACAGCUCAAAUUUGAAAUCUGGCUCUUUCAGGGUCCGAGUUGUAAUUUGUAGAGGAUGCUUCGGGUACGGCUCCGGUCUAAGUUCCUUGGAACAGGACGUCACAGAGGGUGAGAAUCCCGUACGUGAUCGGCCUCCACGCCCGUGUGAAGCUCCUUCGACGAGUCGGGUUGUUUGGGAAUGCAGCUCAAAAUGGGUGGUAAAUUUCAUCUAAAGCUAAAUAUUGGCCAGAGACCGAUAGCGCACAAGUAGAGUGAUCGAAAGAUGAAAAGCACUUUGGAAAGAGAGUCAAACAGUACGUGAAAUUGUUGAAAGGGAAGCGCUUGCAACCAGACUUGCCUGCAGGUGAUCAACCGGUAUUCUUACCGGUGCACUCGCCUGUGGUCAGGCCAGCAUCGGUUUGGGCGGCUGGAUAAAGUUCACCGGAACGUAGCUCCUCUCGGGGAGUGUUAUAGCCGGAGGUGCAAUGCAGCCCGCCCGGACCGAGGACCGCGCU